UUUUCCUCCCGCUUAUUGAUAUGCUUAAACUCAGCGGGUAGUCCCGCCUGACCUGGGGUCAUGGUCGAGGGCCCAAAGGCUCCGGGGUCUUGCGCGAGCUCUGCCGAACGGAUUCGGUCACGGCUUCGAUCGAGUUGAGGUUUUCAACCACCACUUGUCGUGACGUCCCGAGCGGAGGACUCGGAUUUAGGCCGGCCGCGCCGCGGGGGCACGGGAGGCCAACAUCCGUCACCCGCCUCGAUGCGCCGGAGCGCGGUGAGGGGGGCGGCGACGAUGCGUGACGCCCAGGCAGACGUGCCCUCAGCCUAAUGGCUUCGGGCGCAACUUGCGUUCAAAAACUCGAUGGUUCACGGGAUUCUGCAAUUCACACCAAGUAUCGCAUUUCGCUACGUUCUUCAUCGAUGCGAGAGCCUAGAUAUCCGUUGCCGAGAGUCGUAUUGGUUACGAUUCAGACGCCCCGCGCCACGCCUGCGGAAUCCGCAGGGGGACGCGGACGAUCCGUUUUAGUAGUCCUUGGCGCAAUCCGCGCCGGAAGUAAAAUUAGGAGUUCCAUCCUCCGCUUAUUGAUAUGCCUUGUUACGACUUUUACUUCCAUCCUCCGGCUUAUUGAUUGCCUUUUACGGCUAGUCCACAACCUAAACGCCCCU
RNAcentral lists this unclassified non-coding RNA (647 nucleotides) under Exallage auricularia. RNAcentral describes it as "sequence contains ITS1, 5.8S rRNA gene, ITS2". The record is from RNAcentral. Lineage: Eukaryota; Viridiplantae; Streptophyta; Magnoliopsida; Gentianales; Rubiaceae.